UACGAAGGGGGCUAGCGUUGUUCGGAAUUACUGGGCGUAAAGCGUGCGCAGGCGACUUCUCAAGUCAGGGGUGAAAGCCCAGAGCUCAACUCUGGAAUUGCCUUUGAGACUGAGUGGCUUGAGUACGAGAGAGGUGAGUGGAAUUCCCAGUGUAGAGGUGAAAUUCGUAGAUAUUGGGAAGAACACCGGUGGCGAAGGCGGCUCACUGGCUCGUAACUGACGCUCAUGCACGACAGCGUGGGGAUCAAACAGG
RNAcentral lists this ribosomal RNA (253 nucleotides) under uncultured bacterium. RNAcentral describes it as "partial 16S ribosomal RNA". It matches the Rfam family "Bacterial small subunit ribosomal RNA", at positions 524 to 776 of the family's 1533-position model. The record is from RNAcentral.